This 433-nucleotide ribosomal RNA is filed under the name uncultured bacterium. RNAcentral's name for it is "partial 16S ribosomal RNA". It matches the Rfam family "Bacterial small subunit ribosomal RNA", at positions 29 to 507 of the family's 1533-position model. The record is from RNAcentral.
AACGAACGCUGGCGGCAUGCCUAACACAUGCAAGUCGAACGAGACCUUCGGGUCUAGUGGCGCACGGGUGCGUAACGCGUGGGAACCUGCCCUUAGGUUCGGAAUAACUCCCCGAAAGGGGUGCUAAUACCGGAUAAUGUCUUCGGACCAAAGAUUUAUCGCCUUUGGAUGGGCCCGCGUUGGAUUAGCUAGUUGGUAGGGUAAAAGCCUACCAAGGCGACGAUCCAUAGCUGGUUUGAGAGGAUGAUCAGCCACACUGGGACUGAGACACGGCCCAGACUCCUACGGGAGGCAGCAGUGGGGAAUAUUGGACAAUGGGCGAAAGCCUGAUCCAGCUAUGCCGCGUGAGUGAUGAAGGCCUUAGGGUUGUAAAGCUCUUUUACCCGGGAUGAUAAUGACAGUACCGGGAGAAUAAGCUCCGGCUAACUCCGUG